Molecule: non-coding RNA, 446 nt
Organism: Schizosaccharomyces pombe (fission yeast)
Lineage: Eukaryota; Fungi; Ascomycota; Schizosaccharomycetes; Schizosaccharomycetales; Schizosaccharomycetaceae
Source: the annotation of a GenBank genome assembly
CCAUUUUUUGGAUCGAUACUCUCAGUGAAAGUGAUCUGGUAUUGGUAAUAUCUAGCUUCACUCGUUUUCCACCACGACACUAUGCAAGCAACCGGUGGCUCAAGGCACUCUAACAUAUUGCGUAACAUAGUAUUGCGAUAUUGUAAUUUUUGAAUAGUGUAUGGUAAAAACACAUCCUAAUUUUCUUGAGUUGUUUACAUUUCGAACACGAAAAUGUAUCUACUGUUACCAACGCGUGAAUCAACCAUUCCAUUUCAAGAGACCUCACUUUAAGUAAAUUUUCCUCAAUAUAAAGUGUUGUAGAAGUAAUAAUGGUUUAAAAAAGGUUAAACAAUUGCCAUCGAUUUUUAUUAAAAGGAGUACGGAUCUCUUUUCGUGCAUUCGUCGUGUUUCUUGUUAGAACAUAGACUUUGCUAAAGUGAUUUAACCUUGCAUCUAUCUUUUAC